This 497-nucleotide ribosomal RNA is filed under the name uncultured bacterium. Its description in RNAcentral is "partial 16S ribosomal RNA". It matches the Rfam family "Bacterial small subunit ribosomal RNA", at positions 28 to 507 of the family's 1533-position model. The record is from RNAcentral.
GAUGAACGCUGGCGGCGUGCCUAAUACAUGCAAGUCGAGCGAACAGACGAGGAGCUUGCUCCUCUGACGUUAGCGGCGGACGGGUGAGUAACACGUGGAUAACCUACCUAUAAGACUGGGAUAACUUCGGGAAACCGGAGCUAAUACCGGAUAAUAUAUUGAACCGCAUGGUUCAAUAGUGAAAGACGGUUUUGCUGUCACUUAUAGAUGGAUCCGCGCCGCAUAAGCUAGUUGGUAAGGUAACGGCUUACCAAGGCAACGAUGCGUAGCCGACCUGAGAGGGUGAUCGGCCACACUGGAACUGAGACACGGUCCAGACUCCUACGGGAGGCAGCAGUAGGGAAUCUUCCGCAAUGGGCGAAAGCCUGACGGAGCAACGCCGCGUGAGUGAUGAAGGUCUUCGGAUCGUAAAACUCUGUUAUUAGGGAAGAACAAAUGUGUAAGUAACUAUGCACGUCUUGACGGUACCUAAUCAGAAAGCCACGGCUAACUACGUG